GACGAACGCUGGCGGCGUGCUUAACACAUGCAAGUCGAACGGAAAGGCCCUGCUUUUGUGGGGUGCUCGAGUGGCGAACGGGUGAGUAACACGUGAGUAACCUGCCCUUGACUUUGGGAUAACUUCAGGAAACUGGGGCUAAUACCGGAUAGGAGCUCCUGCUGCAUGGUGGGGGUUGGAAAGUUUCGGCGGUUGGGGAUGGACUCGCGGCUUAUCAGCUUGUUGGUGGGGUAGUGGCUUACCAAGGCUUUGACGGGUAGCCGGCCUGAGAGGGUGACCGGCCACAUUGGGACUGAGAGACGGCCCAGACUCCUACGGGAGGCAGCAGUGGGGAAUAUUGCCCAAUGGGCGGAAGCCUGAUGCAGCAACGCCGCGUGCGGGAUGACGGCCUUCGGGUUGUAAACCGCUUUCGCCUGUGACGAAGCGUGAGUGACGGUAAUGGGUAAAGAAGCACCGGCUAACUACGUG
Molecule: ribosomal RNA, 468 nt
Filed under: uncultured bacterium
Lineage: Bacteria
Description: partial 16S ribosomal RNA
Rfam family: Bacterial small subunit ribosomal RNA
Source: RNAcentral